This 1242-nucleotide ribosomal RNA is filed under the name Bacillus pumilus. RNAcentral describes it as "bacterial SSU rRNA". It matches the Rfam family "Bacterial small subunit ribosomal RNA", at positions 121 to 1349 of the family's 1533-position model. The record is from RNAcentral. Lineage: Bacteria; Bacillati; Bacillota; Bacilli; Caryophanales; Bacillaceae.
GUAACCUGCCUGUAAGACUGGGAUAACUCCGGGAAACCGGAGCUAAUACCGGAUAGUUCCUUGAACCGCAUGGUUCAAGGAUGAAAGACGGUUUCGGCUGUCACUUACAGAUGGACCCGCGGCGCAUUAGCUAGUUGGUGGGGUAAUGGCUCACCAAGGCGACGAUGCGUAGCCGACCUGAGAGGGUGAUCGGCCACACUGGGACUGAGACACGGCCCAGACUCCUACGGGAGGCAGCAGUAGGGAAUCUUCCGCAAUGGACGAAAGUCUGACGGAGCAACGCCGCGUGAGUGAUGAAGGUUUUCGGAUCGUAAAGCUCUGUUGUUAGGGAAGAACAAGUGCGAGAGUAACUGCUCGCACCUUGACGGUACCUAACCAGAAAGCCACGGCUAACUACGUGCCAGCAGCCGCGGUAAUACGUAAGUGGCAAGCGUUGUCCGGAAUUAUUGGGCGUAAAGGGCUCGCAGGCGGUUUCUUAAGUCUGAUGUGAAAGCCCCCGGCUCAACCGGGGAGGGUCAUUGGAAACUGGGAAACUUGAGUGCAGAAGAGGAGAGUGGAAUUACCACGUGUAGCGGUGAAAUGCGUAGAGAUGUGGAGGAACACCAGUGGCGAAGGCGACUCUCUGGUCUGUAACUGACGCUGAGGAGCGAAAGCGUGGGGAGCGAACAGGAUUAGAUACCCUGGUAGUCCACGCCGUAAACGAUGAGUGCUAAGUGUUAGGGGGUUUCCGCCCCUUAGUGCUGCAGCUAACGCAUUAAGCACUCCGCCUGGGGAGUACGGUCGCAAGACUGAAACUCAAAGGAAUUGACGGGGGCCCGCACAAGCGGUGGAGCAUGUGGUUUAAUUCGAAGCAACGCGAAGAACCUUACCAGGUCUUGACAUCCUCUGACAACCCUAGAGAUAGGGCUUUCCCUUCGGGGACAGAGUGACAGGUGGUGCAUGGUUGUCGUCAGCUCGUGUCGUGAGAUGUUGGGUUAAGUCCCGCAACGAGCGCAACCCUUGAUCUUAGUUGCCAGCAUUCAGUUGGGCACUCUAAGGUGACUGCCGGUGACAAACCGGAGGAAGGUGGGGAUGACGUCAAAUCAUCAUGCCCCUUAUGACCUGGGCUACACACGUGCUACAAUGGACAGAACAAAGGGCUGCGAGACCGCAAGGUUUAGCCAAUCCCAUAAAUCUGUUCUCAGUUCGGAUCGCAGUCUGCAACUCGACUGCGUGAAGCUGGAAUCGCUAGUAAUCGCGGAU